GACGAACGCUGGCGGUGUGCCUAAUACAUGCAAGUAGAACGCAGUUGCGAACGGGUGAGUAACGCGUAGGUAACUGCCCCAUAGCGGGGGAUAACUAUUGGAAACGAUAGCUAAUACCGCAUACUGUGAGAUGGACCUGCGUUGUGUUUGUUAGUUGGUGAGGUAAAGGCUCACCAAGGCGACGAUACAUAGCCGACCUGAGAGGGAGGACGGCCACACUGGGACUGGGGCAAGGCCCAAACUCCUACUGGGAGGAGCAAUAGGGAAAGUUCGGCAAUGGGCGGAAGUCUGACCGAGGAACGGCGCGGGAGAGAAGGAGGUUUUCGGGGCGUAAAAGUCUGUUGUGUGGGGAGCGGUAACUAACCAGAAAGGGACGGCUAACUACGUGCCAGCAGCCGCGGUAAUUC
This 407-nucleotide ribosomal RNA is filed under the name uncultured bacterium. RNAcentral describes it as "partial 16S ribosomal RNA". It matches the Rfam family "Bacterial small subunit ribosomal RNA", at positions 28 to 526 of the family's 1533-position model. The record is from RNAcentral.